Molecule: ribosomal RNA, 253 nt
Filed under: uncultured bacterium
Lineage: Bacteria
Description: partial 16S ribosomal RNA
Rfam family: Bacterial small subunit ribosomal RNA
Source: RNAcentral
UACGGAGGGUGCGAGCGUUGUCCGGAAUCAUUGGGCGUAAAGGGCGCGUAGGUGGCGGGACAAGCGUGCGGUGAAAGCCUGGGGCUCAACCCCGGGUCGGCCGUGCGAACUGUUUUGCUUGAGCACUGUAGAGGCAGGCGGAAUUCCGGGUGUAGCGGUGGGAUGCGUAGAGAUCCGGAAGAACACCGGUGGCGAAGGCGGCCUGCUGGGCAGUAGCUGACACUGAGGCGCGACAGCGUGGGGAGCAAACAGG